AGUUUUGUAGUUUAUAAAAACAUAAAAUUGCAAAUUUUAAAAAAAAGAAUACUUUCAAGACUU
RNAcentral lists this transfer RNA (63 nucleotides) under Thrips setosus. RNAcentral's name for it is "tRNA-Cys". The record is from RNAcentral. Lineage: Eukaryota; Metazoa; Arthropoda; Insecta; Thysanoptera; Thripidae.